Molecule: long non-coding RNA, 1371 nt
Organism: Zalophus californianus (California sea lion)
Lineage: Eukaryota; Metazoa; Chordata; Mammalia; Carnivora; Otariidae
Exons: 3
Source: RefSeq, a predicted model, not a curated record
GCCUGAGCAGCGGCCUCUGUUCCCCUCCUUCUGAUGAGUAUUGCUCUUCUUUGCAGCAGCUGCCCCUCCCAGUUAGCACAGUUCAGAUGUGACUUCAAGCCAACCCUUCUGACACCUUGAUUUGGGACUUCUGGCCUCCAGAACUCUUUUGUAAUCCCAGUGCCAUCACAGAACUUCCAUUGCUGUGGGAAAUUGUUCUGCUACAUGGCUGUGAUGACAUCAGCCUCUACGAGGGGAAAAAGAGAAAUAACAGGAAAUUCAGCUGUUAACUGAUAGAUGAAGGAGGAACUGGUUUUCAAAUGUGCAACAUCAAGAUAAUCACCUUCACUGGGAAUUGUUGUUAAAUUAUGGAACAUGUAAGUCUAUAGAAACCCUAUUCUUUCAAGCUUCUACCUUUUGUUGUGUCCUUCAGUUUGAUCUGCCAUUGAAAAACAUGUUGCAUUCCUGCCUUGCAUAGAAGAAUUCUGAAUACAUCAAAAAAAAUUAGUAACUUUAGUUGACCAAUUUAUAUUUUGAGACCAAACUGGUUUCUUGCAGUGAUGCUGAAUGUUCAAAUAUGUUCAAAAGAACUCUCCCUCUGGAUAAUCAUAUCUCAGCAUGCAAUCACAGUUGUUUAUGAUUGUCUUCCAUAUUAUCAUGUAAUAAAAAGAAUAAUCUUGAAUUUACUGAAUUAGCCUUUAUGUAAUUUAUAAUCUUCACCAAGUCACUAAGCACACUGUUUAGUUCAGUUGACCAAGACUUUCUCAAAGAGAGAAGUGGUAUGCUGACUUACAUUUAAUUAUAAAUUAAGGUCCUUAAUUUUGGUAACUACUCCAAAAUGUUUUCUUGUCAUUGCCACUACACAUCCAAUUGUAUUCCUGCACAAAACUUCAAACCACAUUCAUUGACAAUAUAAUUUUUCAGAGCUUUCUGUUGUUUAGAGUUAGUUUGUCAGCAAUGAAGCUGAAAAAGGAAUUCCUCCUUCAUAUUACCAUCAUAUUCCAAUAGCACAUAAACUAAAAGAAUUGUCAUAUUAGCAGUAUCUAUAUAUACAUUCAUAUCCAUCAAUAAGGUUGCAGAGAAAAAUAAUUAGCUUUAUUCAUUCUAUGAGAUAAUCUACUCAAAUAUUCCAAGUUGUUAGGUUGUUGGUAAAAGUGACAAUUAAACUACGUUCUUCUUUGCCACAGAUUCUCCCAACAUUUUUAAGAAUUUUUUUUUUAAGAUUUAUUUAUUUGACAGAGAAAGACACAGCGAGAGAGAGAACACAAGCAGGGGGAGUGGGAGAGGGAGAAGCAGGCUUGAUCCCAGGAUCCCGGGACCAUGACCUGAGCCGAAGGCGACGCUCAAUGAUUGAGCCACCCAGGCGCCCCUUUUAAGAAUUUUUGAUGCAGU